GAUGAACGCUGGCGGCGUGCCUAAUACAUGCAAGUCGAGCGAACAGACGAGGAGCUUGCUCCUCUGACGUUAGCGGCGGACGGGUGAGUAACACGUGGAUAACCUACCUAUAAGACUGGGAUAACUUCGGGAAACCGGAGCUAAUACCGGAUAAUAUAUUGAACCGCAUGGUUCAAUAGUGAAAGACGGUUUUGCUGUCACUUAUAGAUGGAUCCGCGCCGCAUUAGCUAGUUGGUAAGGUAACGGCUUACCAAGGCAACGAUGCGUAGCCGACCUGAGAGGGUGAUCGGCCACACUGGAACGGAGACACGGUCAAGACUCCUACGGGAGGCAGCAGUAGGGAAUCUUCCGCAAUGGGCGAAAGCCUGACGGAGCAACGCCGCGUGAGUGAUGAAGGUCUUCGGAUCGUAAAACUCUGUUAUUAGGGAAGAACAAAUGUGUAAGUAACUAUGCACGUCUUGACGGUACCUAAUCAGAAAGCCACGGCUAACUACGUG
This 497-nucleotide ribosomal RNA is filed under the name uncultured bacterium. RNAcentral's name for it is "partial 16S ribosomal RNA". It matches the Rfam family "Bacterial small subunit ribosomal RNA", at positions 28 to 507 of the family's 1533-position model. The record is from RNAcentral.